GCCCUGCUGGCUCAAAGGUUACAGCAUCGCCCUCCUAUUAUAAUAAAUUUAAAAAAAACAUUUAUAGUGGAGUUUUGCUAGGCGAAGACUCCGGGUUCGAGUCCCGGGCAGGGUU
Non-coding RNA from Lodderomyces elongisporus, 115 nucleotides. The record is from the annotation of a RefSeq genome assembly. Lineage: Eukaryota; Fungi; Ascomycota; Pichiomycetes; Serinales; Debaryomycetaceae.